UACGUAGGGUGCAAGCGUUGUCCGGAAUUAUUGGGCGUAAAGGGCUCGUAGGCGGUCCAUCACGUCGGGAGUGAAAAGCUGGGGCUUAACCCCAGUCCUGCUUCCGAUACGGGUGGACUAGAGUUCGGUAGGGGAGUCUGGAAUUCCUGGUGUAGCGGUGAAAUGCGCAGAUAUCAGGAGGAACACCGGUGGCGAAGGCGGGUCUCUGGGCCGUAACUGACGCUGAGGAGCGAAAGCAUGGGGAGCGAACAGG
RNAcentral lists this ribosomal RNA (253 nucleotides) under uncultured bacterium. RNAcentral describes it as "partial 16S ribosomal RNA". It matches the Rfam family "Bacterial small subunit ribosomal RNA", at positions 524 to 776 of the family's 1533-position model. The record is from RNAcentral.